UCCGCUAGCUUCGACGAGCGCCUGUGAACUAAAAGCAACGCGCCGCGAAUCGAACGGCGUACCGCGUAAAAGGCGUACGCGUAAAAAGCUCUCAGUUCGCACCAGAGUACAUCCAGAGAGAACAAAUACGACCAACAUCGCAAAGCAAAACCGUCGAUCGUUCAUCACGAUCGUUCGCUGGAGGAGAACGAUCGAGUGGAUAUUGCGAGAGAAGAAAUGGUAACAAGUAAAUGAAAGCCUACAACUCUAAAAUCUGAUGUGAUUCGUUGAAAUGUCACGAUCGGGAAGGGCAGGAUUGCGGGGCUACUUUUACACUCGCUGGAUGCGGUUUAUUACCCGUCUCAAAUUACCCAAAGCCGUAAGGUCGAGAUGCAGUUAAGUUACCAUUUUGCCAGAUUGCACAUACGGAUAACUUCGACCGGAAUGCAUCACGUUUUAGUUUUCGUGACUUUGUUCUAGCGAACCUUGUAACUGUCGCCUUUACAGUGUGUUAUGAUGUUCCCCGUGCCAGAUGCUAUACAUAAUUUCAUAACUCAUCGGCUUAAUGUCUAAUAAAAGCGAAAGUGUGUGAACUAAUGCAA
Molecule: long non-coding RNA, 581 nt
Organism: Anopheles merus
Lineage: Eukaryota; Metazoa; Arthropoda; Insecta; Diptera; Culicidae
Exons: 2
Source: RefSeq, a predicted model, not a curated record